UACAGAGGGUGCUAGCGUUGUUCGGAGUCAUUGGGCGUAAAGGGCUCGUAGGCGGCCAACUAAGUCAGACGUGAAAUCCCUCGGCUUAACCGGGGAACUGCGUCUGAUACUGGAUGGCUUGAGUUUGGGAGAGGGAUGCGGAAUUCCAGGUGUAGCGGUGAAAUGCGUAGAUAUCUGGAGGAACACCGGUGGCGAAGGCGGCAUCCUGGACCAACACUGACGCUGAGGAGCGAAAGCCAGGGGAGCAAACGGG
RNAcentral lists this ribosomal RNA (253 nucleotides) under uncultured bacterium. Its description in RNAcentral is "partial 16S ribosomal RNA". It matches the Rfam family "Bacterial small subunit ribosomal RNA", at positions 524 to 776 of the family's 1533-position model. The record is from RNAcentral.